GCAUAUGCUGAAAUGUUACUCUUAUUACCAUCUCACUUAAUCUGUCCCCUGUCCACCCUUACUAGAAUGGACCCAUCAAACAAUGCGACUUCUUCUCAGUCCAUGUCAAACUCAUCUAUUGGCCAGCAGUUUCUUCCUCCACCCCCUAUGUGGCCCACGGCUUACAUGCAGCAGAGUGCUAUGGAUUGUAACCUCGUGGGAAACCUGAAUUUUCCAAACCCUGCUCAAGGUCCGACAACAAUGUGGGCACCCAUGCAUACAGGGAAUACUUCUUCCCAAUCUUCCAUGAUUCCGGCCUCUCAAUCAGCUAUGUACUGGAAUCAUUAUUUGAAUUUUGUGAGGAAUCCUCUUGGGCCACCAGAAGUUAACCCAUUUCCUGAUUGCAUUCCACCAUCCAAUACCAGUACACCAUUGCAGGGUUCCAAUACUAUACCUUCCAUACCUGUGAAUUUGGACUCAGAUGCAGAACAUAGUGUUCAAGACAUCAAUAGUCCUGAAAAGAAUGCACCUCCAAUACAAAAACCCAAAAAGGCUAAGGAACAAAACUUUACUAGCCCUGAAGAUCUUCUACUUUGCACAACCUGGUUGCAAAUUAGCAGUGACCCUGUUGUGCACACUGGGCAACGUAGGGAGGGCCUUUGGGCUAGAAUUGAAAAAAGAAACAACGAACAGAGGGGGAACUUUCCUUGCCGAGUUAACAGAGCGCUUAGCAGCAGAUGGGAUAAGAUAAGAGCAGAUGUAAGUAAGUUUGCUGGCUACUAUGCAAGAGUUCUUAGAGAGAAACAAAGUGGGUUAACUGAUGACGACAAGGUAACCCAAAUUUUCAUGACUUUAAAUCAUUUACAAAUGAUUCUAUAUACAUGUUAACACAUUUGUAAAAUUAAACCAUAAUUUGUACAGACUUCGAAGGCCGCAACAUUAUUUGCACACGAGGAGAACAAAAAUUUCCAGUACAUGCAUUGCUGACACCAACUAAAGGGAGAACCGAAAUGGGAGAGCAUUUGUAGUGGCCAAUCGUUCCGCGGAUUGAAUGCAAAUCCAGUUGGGUCAACAGGUACUCCGUCUGCUCCGACAACUGAAAAUGAUAGUUCAUCAGUAGGGUUGACAGGAAAACGGCCGCGUGGUCGUGAUUUCAGUAAAUCAGAGAGAAACAAACCUGCAUCAUCUUCAUCUCCAGAGUACCUUAGCCGUUUGCAAGAAAUAACUGAAAAACAAAUUCAGAGGUCCAUUGAAAAGGGUGCAAAAAAAGAGAAGUGCACAGAAGAAGACAGGGAAAUGGAGAAAAAGAGGUUAGAAUUGGAAGCCGAAAAGGUCAUCAUACGAAAAAGGGAAUUGAAACUUCAAGAACUAGAAUCUGCUGAAAAAAGAUUACAAAGGCUGGAGGCAACGAAUGAAGAAGAUGUCCAACCCCAUGUUUGGAUUAUGAUACAAAAACAAAAACAGAAGUUGCAAGAAUUCAUAUUUGGUUACGAG
RNAcentral lists this unclassified non-coding RNA (1473 nucleotides) under Zea mays. RNAcentral's name for it is "misc RNA Zm00001eb104390". The record is from RNAcentral. Lineage: Eukaryota; Viridiplantae; Streptophyta; Magnoliopsida; Poales; Poaceae.